This 1189-nucleotide ribosomal RNA is filed under the name Clostridium botulinum. RNAcentral describes it as "partial 23S ribosomal RNA". It matches the Rfam family "Bacterial large subunit ribosomal RNA", at positions 328 to 1518 of the family's 2925-position model. The record is from RNAcentral. Lineage: Bacteria; Bacillati; Bacillota; Clostridia; Eubacteriales; Clostridiaceae.
CUUAAUCGAAGAGGGCUGGAACGCCCUACCAUAGAAGGUAAUAGUCCUGUAGAUAAAAAGAGAAAACUUCGAGAUCUAAUCCAGAGUACCACGAGACACGUGAAACCUUGUGGGAAGCAGGGAGGACCACCUCCCAAGGCUAAAUACUACCUAGUGACCGAUAGUGAAGCAGUACCGUGAGGGAAAGGUGAAAAGAACCCCGGAAGGGGAGUGAAAUAGAACCUGAAACCGUGUGCCUACAACCGAUCGGAGCACGUUAAAGUGUGACGAUGUGCUUUUUGUAGAACGAGCCAGCGAGUUACGCUAUGUAGCAAGGUUAAGUACUUAAGGUAUGGAGCCGAAGGGAAACCGAGUCUGAAAAGGGCGAAAAGUUGCAUGGUGUAGACCCGAAACCGGGUGACCUAUCCAUGGCCAGGUUGAAGCGAGAGUAAAAUCUCGUGGAGGACCGAACCACGUUGGUGUUGAAAAACCAUGGGAUGAGCUGUGGAUAGCGGAGAAAUUCCAAUCGAACUCGGAGAUAGCUGGUUCUCCUCGAAAUAGCUUUAGGGCUAGCGUCGUGUAAUUGAGUAAUGGAGGUAGAGCACUGAAUGGGCUAGGGGCUAUAGUAGUUACCGAACCCUAUCAAACUCCGAAUGCCAUAUACUUGUAUCACGGCAGUCAGACUGCGAAUGAUAAGAUCCGUAGUCAAAAGGGAAACAGCCCAGACCAUCAGCUAAGGUCCCAAAGUGUAAGUUAAGUGGAAAAGGAUGUGGGAUUUCUAAGACAACUAGGAUGUUGGCUUAGAAGCAGCCACUCAUUUAAAGAGUGCGUAAUAGCUCACUAGUCAAGAGAUCCUGCGCCGAAGAUGUCCGGGGCUCAAACUUACCACCGAAGCUAUGGGUGUACACUAUGUGUACGCGGUAGAGGAGCUUUCUGUAUGGGUUGAAGUCGUACCGUAAGGAGCGGUGGACUGUACAGAAGUGAGAAUGCUGGCAUAAGUAGCGAGAAAUAAGUGAGAAUCUUAUUGGCCGAAAACCUAAGGUUUCCUGAGGAAGGUUCGUCCGCUCAGGGUUAGUCGGGACCUAAGCCGAGGCCGAAAGGCGUAGGUGAUGGACAAUCGGUUGAUAUUCCGAUACCGCCUAUUUACGUUUGAGAAAUGGGGUGACGCAGUAGGAUAAGAUGUGCGCACUAUUGGAUGUGCGUCUAAGCA